AACGAACGCUGGCGGCAGGCCUAACACAUGCAAGUCGAACGCCCCGCAAGGGGAGUGGCGCACGGGUGAGUAACGCGUGGGAAUAUGCCCUUCGGUUCGGAAUAACACAGGGAAACUUGUGCUAAUACCGGAUACGAUCUACGGAUGAAAGAUUCAUCGCCGAAGGAGUAGCCCGCGUAGGAUUAGCUAGUUGGUGAGGUAAUGGCUCACCAAGGCGACGAUCCUUAGCUGGUCUGAGAGGAUGAUCAGCCACACUGGGACUGAGACACGGCCCAGACUCCUACGGGAGGCAGCAGUGGGGAAUAUUGGACAAUGGGCGAAAGCCUGAUCCAGCCAUGCCGCGUGAGUGAUGAAGGCCUUAGGGUUGUAAAGCUCUUUCGCCAGGGAAGAUAAUGACGGUACC
Molecule: ribosomal RNA, 403 nt
Filed under: bacterium Fw70s-11
Lineage: Bacteria
Description: bacterial SSU rRNA
Rfam family: Bacterial small subunit ribosomal RNA
Source: RNAcentral